RNAcentral lists this ribosomal RNA (495 nucleotides) under uncultured bacterium. RNAcentral's name for it is "SSU rRNA". It matches the Rfam family "Bacterial small subunit ribosomal RNA", at positions 26 to 521 of the family's 1533-position model. The record is from RNAcentral.
AGAUUGAACGCUGGCGGCAUGCCUUACACAUGCAAGUCGAACGGUAACGCGGGGGUAACCCUGGCGACGAGUGGCGAACGGGUGAGUAAUACAUCGGAACGUACCCAGUAGUGGGGGAUAGCUCGGCGAAAGCCGGAUUAAUACCGCAUACGACCUAUGGGUGGAAGCGGGGGAUCGAAAGACCUCGCGCUAUUGGAGCGGCCGAUGUCGGAUUAGCUAGUUGGUGAGGUAAAGGCUCACCAAGGCUACGAUCCGUAGCUGGUCUGAGAGGACGACCAGCCACACUGGGACUGAGACACGGCCCAGACUCCUACGGGAGGCAGCAGUGGGGAAUUUUGGACAAUGGGCGAAAGCCUGAUCCAGCCAUGCCGCGUGUGUGAAGAAGGCCUCGGGUUGUAAGCACUUUGUUCGGACGAAACGUCAAGGCGAAUAAUCUUUGAUAAUGACGGUACCGGAAGAAUAAGCACCGGCUAACUACGUGCCAGCAGCCGCGGU